RNAcentral lists this ribosomal RNA (483 nucleotides) under uncultured bacterium. RNAcentral describes it as "partial 16S ribosomal RNA". It matches the Rfam family "Bacterial small subunit ribosomal RNA", at positions 30 to 507 of the family's 1533-position model. The record is from RNAcentral.
UUGAACGCUGGCGGCAGGCCUAACACAUGCAAGUCGAGCGGAUGAAGGGAGCUUGCUCCUGGAUUCAGCGGCGGACGGGUGAGUAAUGCCUAGGAAUCUGCCUGUUAGUGGGGGAUAACGUCCGGAAACGGGCGCUAAUACCGCAUACGUCCUGAGGGAGAAAGUGGGGGAUCUUCGGACCUCACGCUAUCAGAUGAGCCUAGGUCGGAUUAGCUAGUUGGUGGGGUAAAGGCCUACCAAGGCGACGAUCCGUAACUGGUCUGAGAGGAUGAUCAGUCACACUGGAACUGAGACACGGUCCAGACUCCUACGGGAGGCAGCAGUGGGGAAUAUUGGACAAUGGGCGAAAGCCUGAUCCAGCCAUGCCGCGUGUGUGAAGAAGGUCUUCGGAUUGUAAAGCACUUUAAGUUGGGAGGAAGGGCAGUAAGUUAAUACCUUGCUGUUUUGACGUUACCAACAGAAUAAGCACCGGCUAACUUCGUG